This 4020-nucleotide long non-coding RNA is filed under the name Zostera marina. RNAcentral's name for it is "long non-coding RNA (ZMAR_LNC003285)". The record is from RNAcentral. Lineage: Eukaryota; Viridiplantae; Streptophyta; Magnoliopsida; Alismatales; Zosteraceae.
GAAAUGGUUUAGGAUUAAAAAUUUCUUAUAUUGGAACUGUUAUAAUUAAAACGAAAAAUAGUGAUAUUGCUUUAAAAAAUACUUUAUGUGUUCCGGAUCUUAAAAUGAAAUUGUUAUCUAUUUAAUCUAUGUCUAGGGAUUUAAAUUGUAGUUUUGUUUUAAAUGAUGAUAGUUUUAGAAUUCAUGAUAAUAUUGUUGGUGAUAAACUAAUACAUGGAAAUGGACAUAAUGGACUGUAUCAAUUACAUAAAUUUCAGGAUUCUUCAACUGUUUUUUUUACAACUACUAAUAAAAAUAAGUUAGAUGUGUUAUGACACAAUAGAUGUGGGCAUCCAUCAGCCCACAUCAAUCUUAAAUAAACUUUUAAAAGCUAAUAAAGUUAACAUUUAUAAUAUUAAUCAAAAAUGUAUUACUUGUUCGUUAAAUAAAAUGAAAAAACUUCCAUUUAAAAAUAAGGAGACUUAUAGUAAGAUUUCUUUAGAUGUUAUUUAUAUGGAUGUUUGGGAACCAACCUCAAUUACAUCUUUUCAUGAAUACAAAUAUUAUUUACUCAUAAUAGAUGAGUAGUAUUCUAGGUUUUCAUGGCUUUAUCCUUUAAAAUCAAAAGAUGAGGUUUUCAGUUGUUUUAAAAAAUUUCAUGUUAUGAUUAAAAAGUCAUUAGAUUUUUCAAUAAAAACUAUUCAAACUGAUGGUGGAGGAGAAUUUCAGAAUUCUUCUUUUCUUUCUUACUGUAAAGUACAUGGAAUUAAGUAUAGAUUUUUCUCUCCUUACACACCCGAACAAAAUGGGUUAGUAGAGAAGAAACAUGGUCACAAUAUUUCUAUCUAUAGGUGUUUUUUUCAUCAAUAAGAAAUACCUAAGAUAUAUUGAUCAGAAACUUGUUAUACGUUUGUCUACACUAUUAACAUACUACCUUCAAAGGAUUUGGGAUUUCCUUACCUUAUUUCAUUCUAUACAAUAAAGAGCCAUAUACACUAAUUAUUUUAAAGAUUUUGAUUCACUUUGUUUUUCUCUUAUACCUAAACAAAUGAGGAAUAAAUUUGAACCAUUUUCUAUUGUUGUUUCUUGGGUUAUUCACCCUCAUAAAGCCUACAAAUGUUUGGAGCUUAAGGACUCUAAAAUUAUUAUUUUUAGCCAUGUUAAAUUUUAUUAGGAAAUUUAUCAUUUUAAAGAUUAUAAAUUAGAAACACCUUCGAUAAAAUCAAAUUUUCCCACGACUUUACCACUUUCACAGACAAUUAGUACUACACCUGUGGUACUAUCAAACUUAUCCGAAGAAGUUAGUAAUAAUGGACUAGAAACAUCAGAUAACCCUUCAUCACUGAGAAAUGAGACUGAAUGUGUGGUUCAAGCACAACUACUGUUUUGAAAUGUCUGGAUACAUGCCGAUAGAAGGUUCACAAACCCUAACCAGGAAACACACCGAUCUGGAAAACAAAAAAAACAAGUACAAAACCACCGACCAAAAAAAAGAACAAAACAAGAGGAACGCAGGUCUGAAAAGAAAAAGAAAAUCAACUGAACAUGCCGACUGGACCAGGACAGACCCGCCGACUGGAAAAUCGCAGGAAAAAACGCCGAUUUGGAUGAACGCAAGGAAAAAUAAAUCCACCAAUUUGGAUGAACGGAAAAAAAAAAAACCACCGAUCUGGAUGACCAAGACAGACUCGUUGACUGAAAGACAGAGAAACGCCGGUCUGAAAAACCCUCCCUCUGAAAACCCUAGCCGAUCAAAAAAAUGCCAAAUUUUGCUCUUUUCUUUUCAAUUUUAAUCCAACCUCUGUGACUGAGAAAUUAUAUUACACCAAUGAAAAACCUAAUGGAAUUGUAUUACACCAACAUACGCGACGCAGAAAACUAAAAAAAAAUUGAACACCAAGUCUUUUACAUUAAGAAGAGUAGGAGAUGAGGAUUCACAGAUUGAUGAUUCACAAACGGAAAAAAACGUCGUGCAAAAAUAUAUUCGAGGUACAUAUCGACGUGGAUGAAGAUGUGUUUCCGACGAGAACAAAAGGAAAAUAGGUUUUCCCUAGCGAAUUGAAAAAAAUGAAGAAGAUGAGUACGAAAAAAAUGAAGAAAAAGAUGAGUGGAGGUGAGAUUACGUGUGACGUGUGAGGUAAGGUACAAAUUACAGAUAAGAUACAAAAUAGGUGUAGCAAAGUCAUAUGUAGGUGUAGAGGAAUCUUUAUUUCAUGGAAAUAUGUGCAAAUAAAACAAUAAAAAACUUUUAAAGGAAUAACGGUUGUGAUAAAGAGGUACUACAUCCAAUGGCUAAGCAAAUGUGAACGUUUUUUAGCUUACCAUAUGUUGAGCUUACCUGAAAAAAAGUUGUAUAAUUAAAAUUGUAAAAUAAUAAUAAUAAUUUAUUAUAUAUUAAUACUAUUAUAUUAUUUAUUAUAUUAUUUAUUAAUAUUAUUAUUAUAUUAUAGAAAAUGUUAAAAGAGGGUCUUUUUUAGAUUUGGAGAGGUCGAGCUUUAUUGUUUUCAUUUUUGAUGGUGUUUAUCGGAUAUUAUAAAAGCUAUAACACCCAAUGACACAUCAAAACUUAGCCCGUUAGGUGGCAAGACACCAACGACACAUGAUCAGUGGUGCAGCACGCAUGCAGCGAAGCUACUUCACUAUAGAUUGGAAACACCAAGUUACGACCAGACAGGAUAGACAACCGGAAGAAGAACCUUUAUGUAUUAUGUAAUUUCACCAAUCCAUUUAAACGUGUAUUUACCAUUGAUUUCAUGAUUAACUCUUGUAAUCCGACAAAAACUGAUAGUACUCCAUCGGAGAGCACCAUUUUUUUUUUGAACUACUGAAAUAUAUACAUUUUGACCAGAAUAAAGAUCAAAAUAUUGAAAAAAGUGAGAAAGGGAUACACUAGUCUGAAAAUUAGAAAUUCAAUUUAAUAUAUUUGGGUUAUUCCAACAGUUCACCGAUUGUGAAGGACUGGAAACACAAAUGGGGGAAUAACAAUUGAAAACUUCUUAACAUAGCCUUAAUUUCAGUAUAUAAUACUAAGGAUUAGCUAUGAAAGUAAUUAAUAGAUGUAGAUUGGUCAUAUGUAAAAAACAAUAUAGGAUUAGCCUUUAAUAUUCUCUUGUUCUGUUUGGCUAAGAAUUCAUGACAAAUUUAAGGAAUCAAAUGAGGUUCAUCAUACAGAUUAUGCAAAAGAUAGGGAUUACUUAAACGUAUGCGAAUGAAACAUUAUAAAAUUCUGCUUGAAAACACGAAUAAUUGUAAAAUGUGUUUAGCUCUUGAGGAUACCCAGAGUAUGUCUUCAGCUCAUGAUCAAUCAUAUAUAAGUUCAUGAUCAAUCAUAUAUAAGCUCAUGAUCACAUACGACGUUCAUGGUACAAAUCCAUGCAUUCAAAUACUAAUUGAUAGGGGUAUAUCAUGAAUCGGAUGCUAUCAAUAUGGAAGAAAUCACUUUCACUAUUAAAACUUUUCAUUUUUACCUCAAUCUUUAUUUUUAUAGAAUGACAUUCCAAAAUGCAAAGGAAAAACGACCAGUAAAGAAAUCAUGGUAAAACUUUUCAAUUAUUAUCAGAAAAUAGAAUAAGGAUCCAAAUUCCUAUCAAAUGUGCCAAUAAAAAUUACCAAUGGGGACAUCAAUCUUUUACAAUUCUUCUUGAUUUCAUGCUGUGAACCAAAUGUUGUUUUUUAGAUAAUUUUUUUCUUUCAUAUUGAUAGCAUCCGAUUUGAAAUAAAAAACAACUUCAAUGCAACAAAACAUUGUACAAUACGUACCUAGAAUAGAAGAGAAAAGCAUUGGAAGAUGAAGCCACUGGAAGUUUAAAAAAACCCAAACAAAAAAGAGAAAACAGAAAUGAAUUACCUGUUAAGAUGAAGUCACCGGAAGUCGACGAAAAGAUGAAGCCACCGGAGGUCGCGGUCGCCGAUGCUGGAAGGGAUUAGGAAGGAGAAAUCGGAAAAACGGGAUUGGGUUGGGAGAAAUCAAAAAUCGGGAGGGAAGGAGUUUAGGGAUUUAAAUUUUUUUGGGUUUAAAUGUUUAAUUUAGGGGUUUGGGAU